AAGCUUAUGAGAUUUUACUAUUCUUAGUUAAAGCAUUUACUUUCAUCUUCAAUCACUAGAGAAUAAUGAUGAAUAUUGACACAGUUGAGCCCAUUAAUACAGAGGAUACAAUAAAGAAUGCAAGUAAACAAAAUUCUAAACUGGUCACAAAAACAUUGAAAAGAUUGACAUACUCAUAGCACAUACAACUGAAGAAUAUACAAUGUAACAUUACAUUUUUAGAAUUUCUGUAUUAUUUCUGUUCCUUUAGGUAGAGUGGAAACAAUUAACAUUUGAAGCUAAGCACAAGGAGCUAUAUUUUGUUGGAUAUAUUUCUUAGGAUUAUUGGUUUAAAUAAUAGAAGUAGUUAUAUAAUACACUUUCAGUCAAACUGUCAAUCAAAGAUAGUGUGUGCUCAUUUAUGACCCUUUGUGCUUCUCUGGCUGACAUUUCUGUAGGUAACCUAAUUUAUGACCAGGGUGGGGGUAGCCCUAUCGACUGUAUCAGUGGGUCAUUCUGGCACCUGUGUGUCGGGAUCUGUGGGGUGUGGGGGAGUAGUCCCCAACAAAUGUGUUUGUUAAUGUUGUGAAACCUGUUUCUCCCAGUAGUAAUCACACACAAUGUAUACCACAAUGUAUUUUUCGUGGUAUAAGAGAAUGUUUGUUUCUGAAAUUACUUUUUGUGGUAUUGUUUUAUUUGUAGCUUAAGGAUGUUUGGGUGAAAUACGUCUGAAAAAGUGUAUCAAAUGGUUAAUAUUGGGUAUACGUUUGUGUGGGGGAUUUCGUUUAUGUAACCACAUUGUUAGAAAAAGCAUGAUGUUUGAAUGUGUACAUAUAUGAGCAGAAUAUUUGUUUGUGAAACAAAUGAAAACAAAUGUUGAUUACGUUUUUUGGGAGACUGGUUUGACUUGGAAUAAAAAUUUAGGAGGUAAAACAUUUUUUUUUUUUAAAAGAAUCUGUUUAAAAGAAUCAUACGUAUUACAUGUCUUCCAAACAUAAACCUUUAGGAAGUAAAAAUGAGUAAAAGAGCUGUUUAAAAGAAUCCGUAAUACAUGUUUUCCAAAAACAUAACCCUUAUGAGAUAAAAACAAACUGUGGGGAAACAGUUUGUAAUCAAAGAACAGUAAUUAAAUCUAGAAAAUGCGAUGACGACGGUUUGUGUUCCUUUGAACAGUGUGGUAACAUGGAAACAUUACAGUAUUUAAUUCAGACAAUGGAGGAUCUGAAUAGAUCUGAGUCUACCACUGAUACGUUGUUGGAAUUAUUAAACAUUGCGAGAUCAGUGGCAGACGAUCAAGCAGAAUCAAUUCCUCUUCAUCAACUUCAUCAUUAGAACAUGCUUCAAAUUCACAACAGGUGGGGAGGGGUUCAGACAGCGAAUCGUAUCAUACGUUUAAUCCUUUGGAGCCAAAUUUUGGGUUAUCCGCAUCCGCUAUUGAUUCUAUUGUAAGAGAGGGUGGCGAUAUUGGUGGUUGUACAGUGGUAGCGAGACUCAGAUUUAAUAGUUUGGAGAUACGGCGUCAUAUAAAUGUGUGUGAUAAACGCCCCAGACCUGGCUGCGUACACAAUAUUUCUGCAUGGUGUCAUGGAUGAAAUACUGUCAUUUUCCAGACUGCUGGCCAGUGAUGGGGGUUUAAUCAACAUAACAUUGAGAGGCCCUAGUCUACCCUCUGAUGUUAACGCUGUCUUGUGUGCGUGUUCACAAACCAGAUUGAGAACAUUAUGCAAAGCAAUUCUAAUGUGCGAGCUGAUGACAGUUUGGAUCUAAAUGUGUCUAUAGCUCAUGGUAAACACGGUGGUGCUUAUCGAAAGAUACGUGAUCUAGCCCAUAACGAAGUGGUUGCCAUAAACAGAAUGAAUCUGUUUUGUCCCAGCAAUAUAUCUAACAAUCUGUGUUUUGCAAUCUGUCUGGCCCAUUUUCUACAUCACAAAUGUCGUGUACUGAUCUAGAACUGAUAGCCGAGUCUCUGCAGGACACUGCGGGGUAUUCAGUACAGCAAAAGAUAGGGUUUAAUGACAUUACAGAGUUUGAACAGUUGUUACACAUUAAAAUAGUGGUGUUACAUAGAACAUGUACUGGUAUGUUGGAACGGUAUACGUCCAGUGACGUGCCCCAUAACAAGACCAUGUUCUUGUAUCUGCACAACGAACAUUAUUUCAUGAUUAAGAACCUAAAAGCGUUCAUAGGUACUCCAUACGUGUGUGACUACUGCCACCAUGGAUUUACUAGCCGUAGAGACCAUAGGUGUAAAUACAUUUGCAAUGUUUGUAAUGCACCUGAUUAUCAUAAAUACGCUGUCAAAACGAGGCAAUGUCACGAUUGUUUGCGAUACUGCAGAUCUGCUGUGAUGUCACAAAACUGUCACUGUCAGAAAUGUAAUAGGCGAUAUCAUGUCAAUGGAGCCACCCCAAAACAACACGUGUGUGCAGCAGAACUUUGUAUCCAUUGUGGCAUGGAAUCGGUUAAUGACUGUGUACACCAGUGUUUUAUACAGCCAAUAAAACUCGAGCCACCUAGCGACAAAUACAUAUACUAUAAUUUUGAGACACGACACGUAGAUGGUAAACACGUUGCAAACUUCAUAUACGUGAUUACGUUUAAAGGGGAAGAGUUCACAGCUGCUGGUACAGACUAUAUAGAUCAACUUUUAGACAAAGUUUAGAUCAAAGUUUAGACAGCCUCAUUAUCAGAAUUUCACAUGUGUUGCACACAUUGCUUCAGGGUUUUACAACUUUAUAUUUUUGGAAUAUUUCACAAAAGCAGGGCUAACACUUCAAAUUAUUAUGCAAGGCUGUCCGAUCAUUUUAAUGCUUAAUGCUUUCCCGGACAAGACAUUCAAGCACCGUUUCAUUGAUAACUACUCAUUCAUCCCUAUGCGUCUGGCUGUGACGUCCACUGCGUUAAAUCUAACCUGUUCUGAGAGGUCAUUUUCCAUACCUAUUCAGUAGAAUAGAAAAUGAAGACUACAUAGGACCAUACCUGGCUAUGAGACAAUGACUACGUUUACAUGGACAGCAGUAAUCUAAUUAUUGACCUUACUCUGAGUACUCUGUGAUUAAGGUGUUUACAUGAGUUACUUUUAGAAUACUCCUGUCAUGUUCCCAUUUUACAUGUUAUAAAACAUAGUUCAAUUAACAGCAUGUGUCAUUACGUCACCACACCACGCUGUCCGACGUUUCCUCCAGAAUUUCAUGUAUUAACAUACAGCUCAUCUUCGUUAUGGUACCGUAUACAGUUUUGGGUGUUUAAUUUUUUAUUUUAUGAAAGCUUCAAGUGCAGUUAAUCAUUUGUCAUGCUGUACGUGCAAAUAGAUGACGGCGGAUACAAAUUCUCCAGCAACAGGCCUCCUCUGUACUUUCAUUCGGCAACAGUGGUAGUGGUCCUGUACCAGCUCGGUAGCUGCGGGGAAUACCGAGUAAGAGCUAAUCAAUUUGGCGUGCACAAGUGCACGGUCAAGAAGUUUGUGUACAUGGUUUGCAAAGGAAUGCUAUCCUAUGCAAAAAAUCUAAUCCAGGUUCCUAGUCUGGAGGAGGCAAAUGCAAUUGCUUACCGAUUCGAAAUGGAACAUCACAUACCACAGAUAAUCGGAUGCGUUGGCGGGACGCACAUUCCCAUACUUCCGCCAAAAGAUGGAUAUAGGGACUUUGUUAUCGUAAAGGAUGGCCCUCAUACGUGCUUCAGGCAGUCGUGGAUGACCAAUAUUGGUUCCAUUUUAAGUAUCUCUCUGCCCUGUGAAGUGUUUUAUGACUUGUCUCCAACAAGCACACUUUUGGAGUGUCAAUUGCCAAGUUCCUGGGAGUGCACAUGAUGUCAAUGUACUGUGGCAAUCACAGCUAUGCAAAAGGCCCAUCUACUCCCCAGGGGAGUGAGGGUGAUUCAGGGGAAACCUGUGCAUUUCUUUCUCCUCGGAGAUCCAGCUUAUCCACUCAUGGACUGACUGAUGAAGUGUUACCCACAGUCUCUAGGCCUAACACCUGAACAAGAGUCGUUCAAUGUUCACCUCAGCUCAACAAGAACAACAGUGGAGAUUGCUUUUGAGAGACUGAAGUCUAGGUGGAGGGUGCUCCUGAAAUGCAGUGAUAUUUUCACUUCACUUUCUCACCUUGCAUGAUUACAUGUUGUGCACUGCACAAUUUUUGUGAACGAGAAAAGGAGAAGGUCCCCCAAUGCUGGAUGGAGGAGGCAACAGUUAUGGAGAGAGCCUUACCCCAGCCCCACAGUGCACCACAGAACCAGCACAGAUGCUUAUGUCAUGAGAGAUGCAUUAUCACCAUACAUGGCAGCAACAUUUCCCCUUUGGAGGAGUAUACAUUAGGCACAAGUGGUUAACAUUCAGCAUAUUUGCUUGCUUUGAGGAGCUUGGAAAGUCACACUUCUUAGUAUUUGUUCAACGUUAUUAUCUCCAGUCUGUGAUGUUAACUGCAUUCAAGAAGUUAUUUUAUGAAGAAGUGCUGCACUUUUUAUUUUAAUGUGAACUAGGCAAUUUCUUUAAGUUUCUGUUGGGUUUUGUAUGCCUUAAUUCCAGGAACACUGCACACAGGUUUGAAGUGCAAAAAAGGACACAACAAAAAGGAUAAUAAGAAAGGGACCUCUUCAAGUUCUGCUCACUUAUGGUAAAUAUUACUUUACAAAAAAUAGAGGUUUAAUUAAAAAAAAACAUUUCAACCCCAUCCAGGGUGUACCCUGCCUUGUGCCCCAUGCUCCCUUAGGUUGGCUCCAGGUAUCUCAUGACCCUGUAGGAUGGACAGAAACUGGAUGGAUGAAUUUUUUAAAUUUUUUUAUUUAGUUAUUUUUUUUCAAAAAAUGAAAGGUUUCACUUACUAACAAAUUUAUAUAACAAAAGACAAGGCACAUUCUUUCCUGUAACACAGGCAAAUAUGAGGUAGGCAAACACAUCUAAACUCAAGUCAAUACAGGCAUUCACAAAGUAUUUUACAUAAGCAGGUUUUCUGCUACCUAAUGGCAGGCUGCUCACAGGUGAGUAUAUGAUCGAGCAUAUUCAUUUGCUUCUUCUGACCCAUGUUCAGCAGUGGAUGUGUUUGACACAGUAGAACCAUGCAGGGUAUAGUUAGAUGGCUGUGUGUGAUACCCUUGAAAGUGUGGGGGGGUGCAGUGAAGGAGGUGCAAACAUUGGAUGUGGGUGCUUUGGAAUCCCUCAACAAGUAUUGAUAUAAUGUGCUCGGUGGAACGGACAUUGCUCUCAAUUAAAGCACUAAGGAGUCUCUCCUCCCUUUGCUCGGAUUGCUGGAUUUGGUCUUGAACCCAUUAAUUUUAUUGCCUCAUCAUCUGUAUCAUGAACUGCUGAUGCUGAGAGAUCACAGUGCAUCUCGCAGAUUUCUUUCUUCGAGAGUAACCUAUGUUAUAUAUGUUACCAUUAAAAAAAAAAUAGAAAUGUCAGUUGAAGUGACAGGCUUUGAUAGCAAUAAAAUUGCUAGAAGUCUUAGAAAAUGAAAAAAAUGAUAUUUUUAAGUGUCUCCAUGUUCUACAUUAAUCAUAUUUUAAAUGUUGGGACAAAUAUGUGCAGCAUACAGUAGCUAGCCUAUGUAACAACUACUGAACCUGAUGAGUCAAACCAAUACAUACCUACAAAGAAUUGUCUUAUACAUAUACGUAUACAUACAUACAUACAUACAUACAUAGUGCCUAUUUAAUGGAAAUAGCAUUUACAUCAAAAACAUGUCACCUUGUGUCCUGGGUGGGUCGACAUCUGGUGCUGUGGCUGAAAAGCUUUCCUCUUGAGUACCAGAUGUAUCAGCUGAUUAUGCCUUAUCUUCAUCUGCAUCCUCGUUCAUUUCCUCCUGGUGAGAUAGAGAACUCGCUUCAUCCCCAACGAUACGAAUUCAAUGGUUGUAUGUUUCACGGGCAUGAUUGGCAGGCAUGUAAUCCCAACCAUUUACAUCCGUUAUCAAAAGUGCCCUACGGCUUGCUCGGAAGACAAUUUGAUGACAAAGUCGAAAUAUUAUAAAAAGCGUAUGGUCUGGAUGUUGAGGCAAUGUGGGAGUGUGAUUGGUAUAACGCUAAACAGACCGAUGUCGAUGUAAUGGCCUUUAUGACCACUUACACACAUCCUGAAAGACUGAAACUGUGCAACGCUCUAUUUUGUGGUCAUACUAACUAAUAGAAAUUGUAUCACAAAGCCGACAUUAGUGAAAAAAUAUGAUAUGUUGACUUUACAAGCUUGUAUCCCUUUUGCCAGGCCAAAAAAUGUUACCCCAUAGGACUUCCCCAAAUAAUUUUCAAGGAUUUUGAACCUCUUGAAAAUUAUUAUGGAUUUGUCAAAGCUACAGUGCUGCUACCACAAAAACUGCUUCACCCCAUCCUUCCCUAUAGGACUGGUGGUAAGCUUAUGUUUCCACUCUGUCGUACAUGCACAGAAAAGCAGAAUCAGACAGACCUGUGUGGACACACUGAUGAGGAAAGCAAUAUCAGGCUGUUGGGUCAGCAUCGAACUAUUGAAAGGUGUGGAAAAGGGUUACUUUGUAAUGAAAGUUACCUUUUCCACAACGGUCAGAAACUUUGUUUUGUGACUAUGUUAAAACAUUUUUACAAUACAAACAAGAGGCCAGUGGGUUCCCCGCUCAUGUUGUGACAGAUGCUGACAAGGAAUCCUACGUCUCUGAUUACUUUGAGAAAGAGGGGAUUAAGAUGCAUGUUGAUAAGUUAAGUCAUAACCCAGCACGGCGUUCUAUUAACAAACUUCUGCUGAACUCAUUUCUGGGUCGUUUCUUGAUGCGUGAAAACUUGCCGUGUACAGAACUAAUUUCCGGCCCAGAACAGUUUACACAACAUAUGGUUAUGACGUUAAACACUUUUCAUUCAUGUCAGACUGCGUAGCACUAAUUUAGUGGUGUUAUUGGGAAAGGGGGUCAGACUUGACAUUAACCUCCUUCUUGGUGCGUUUACAACCGCUCAUGCGCGUCUAGAGCUGUAUGAGUUAAUGGACAAACUGGGUGAUAGGUUGUUGCACAGUUCUUGUGAUGUCAUUUUGCUUCUAUUAGAAUCUGCUGGGCCUAUGUAAAUGAUUCGUAGCAGUUAGAAACAGAAAUCCAAUGGCAGUUUUCUGGCUAGGAUUAAGUGUUGUAUGUGCUGUUUUUUAACCUGGUGAUGUCCUAAUGAAAUGCUUUAUUUUUCACUGACAUGAUAAACAUUCUGAAGACUUAAGAAGUUACUAUUUUGAAUGUUUGGUUAGAUGUAGGCUUUGAUUAGAGAUAGAUAUGGGCUAUAAACUGUAUUAAAACCUGUUAUGCCCCUACUUUUUCACAAAGUAGAGCUGAAAACUUUACAAUGUACAUCUGUUCCAUUUGAUUUUUUGUUGUUAUUAUUAAAUGGUAAUUGAUUUUUUCUUUCUUUCUUUCUUUUUUUUUUUUUUAGAACCAUA
Long non-coding RNA from Ictalurus punctatus (channel catfish), 7357 nucleotides. NCBI's taxonomy places the organism in Eukaryota, Metazoa, Chordata, Actinopteri, Siluriformes, Ictaluridae. The record is from Ensembl.